Long non-coding RNA from Pan troglodytes (chimpanzee), 5153 nucleotides. RefSeq lists it as uncharacterized. The transcript has 3 exons. The record is from RefSeq and is a predicted model, not a curated record. Lineage: Eukaryota; Metazoa; Chordata; Mammalia; Primates; Hominidae.
UAGCCCAGGGGAUAGAUUGCACACCUCAGCCCUUCUAGUCUGGGGUACCAGGCAUAAGAUAGAGACCAGGCCUAGGUCUUGGAUCUUAUAAUUGGAAGAGAAGUGACCUGCUUCUUUGCCUUAGAUUUUUUUUUUUUUUUAAACAAGGUCUCACUCUGUCAUCCAGGCUGGAGCUGGAGUUUGGUGGAAUGACCUCGGCUCACUGCAGCCUCAACCUCCCCAACUCAGAGAUCCUCCCAGGUCAGCCUUCUGAGUAGCUGGGACUACAGGUGCACACCACCACGCCCAGGUAAUUAUUUAAUUUUUGCAGUGACGGGGGUCUAGCUAUGUUGCCCAGGCUGGUCUCAAACUCCUGGACUCAAGUGAUCCUCCCACCUUGGCUUCCAAAGUGCUGGGAUUACAGGCAUGAGCCACCCUGCUGGCGGGGCCUUUUUUUCAGAAUGAUUAUUUUCUAUUGUUGAGAUGUAGCUGAUGUGAGCUGGCUUCUUGGUAGUCUUGAAAUAGCCUGUAUUUUUUACUACAAGCAAGUUAUGUCAGACCAAUUUUAAUUUUUCCUCUCCCAAGAAACACAAGCAGUCCAUGAAUGAAAGCAGCCAAGGGGCCCUGAAGAGGUAAUACAGAUUGUAGACCACUUUAGUAAAUACCAUGAGUUUGUUUUCAUGUAUCUAAUUUACCUUCAUCUUUACCAAGAACUUUUUUGUUUAAAACACUCUUGCCCUGCACUAAGAUUUUCAAUAUAUUUCCGUCCCUUUUCUGAGCUAUUAGCCUCUCUUCUCUGAGACGGAGUCUCGCUGUUACCCAGGCUGGAGUGCGGUGGUGCGAUCUCGGCUCACUGCAACCUCUGCCUCCUGGGUUCAAGCUCUCCUGCCUUAGCCUCCUGAGUAGCUGGGAUUACAGGUAUGCACCACCAAGCCUGGCUAAUUUUUGUAUUUUUAGUAUAGACGGGGUUUUACCAUGUUGGUCAGGCUGGUCUCAAACUCCUGACCUUGUGAUCCACCCACCUCGGCCUCCCAAAGUGCUGGAAUUACAGGCAUUAGCCACCACGCCCAGCCCUAUCUUCUUACCAAUUUUAAUGUGCCGUACUGUAUGUGAUUAUCCCCAACCAAUUGUUUAAAUCAUAUAGUCUAGCCUAUUAUGUGAAUGGGCACCUACCUAAAUCUUGAAACUCUUCACCUAGGUUGCAAUUAUAUUCCCCUCUCCUUUAAAAAUCCUUAUAUGUCUCAUUGAUUGUUCUUCCAGAUUCAUUUACCAACCACCACACUCUAUUAGAAGCCAGAGUUUAUGGGGUUAGAGCUGGAAAACUGACAAAGUAAAUUUCCUUUAGUACCUCUCAUAACAUCCCAAGUCAAUAUGAUGUUUCAUGUUAAGCAGUGCAAUCACAGCAAGUAAUAAGAUUCUACAUACCAAACCACAUUUAGCUUGUUGUCUUCGAGUUUUUGGUAGAGCCUAGUGCUGGGGGUGGCAGGAAGAGAGAGGGGACACAGCAUGGCCAGUGCUAUAUAGCAUGGAAUGCUUUUAACAGAGAACAAAGUGUUUGUAUGAAAAGGCAGGAAUCCGGGGCUCAGUAGGUGUUGAGUAACUGAAUUGCUAUGAAUGAUUUUCCGUCAAAAUCUAAAUAACAUUCCAGCCUUUGCCAGCUUCAUAGGGGAAUUAGAUAGUAGGAAUGCACUGAGUUUGUGCUCCUGGGAAGACUCCACGACUGGGGGAAGGAAGGCAACAGAAAUGAGGGCAGGGAUGUUGUUUAUCUCCGUCCAAGCACAGGAGGCCCCGGGUGGGAUGACCUCCAUUUACUGGUGGCCCAAAAGCACACCUAUGCCUUCAGGAUGAAGUGUGCUCUGCUCCUCACCCAAAGGUUUAUUUCUGGAAACCUUUAACUGAAGUACAUGCACAUUCAGAAGAAUACAUGUAUCCUGAACAUGCAACUCACUGGACUGUCACAAACUGACCAUACCUAUGCAACCAGCACCAGGUUAAAAAGAUAUUAUUUUAUUUUAAUUUAUUUAUUAUUAUUAUUUUGGAGACAGGGUCUGGCUCUGUCUCCCAGGCCGAAAUGCUGUGUCAUGAUCUUGGCUCACCGCAACCUCCACCUCCCGGGUUCAAACGAUUCUCCUGCCUCAGCCUCCCGAGUAGCUGGGAUUACAGGCGUCCGCCACUAUGCCUGGGCUAAUUUUUGUAUUUUUAGUAGAGACAGGGUUUCGCCACAUUGCUCAGGCUGAUCUCGAACUCCUGACCUCAAGUGAUCCACCUGCCUCGGCAUCCCAAAAUGCUGGGAUUACAGAUGUGAGCCACCGCGCCCAGCUAAAAAGAUAUUUUAAUAAUAUGAAUGCAACUCUGCAUGUGCAUGAAAUGCAAAGGUGACAGGGUGUUAUGAAAAUGUCUCCCUUCCCUCUAUUUUCUAGUCACCUAGAUUUCCUAACUAUUAAGAAAAAAAAAUUGUCAUUAGUUUCUUAACCAAUGGGUUUUAAACCAGACUUCCUGACAUCUGUAAGAUCUUGGCUUGGGCUCGUGGCCUCGGUGAGGCUGGAAGGGUCUUUGUGUGAGCUCAGGACGGCGCUGGACAGGUGGGCCCUGGCUCCAGCUCCGGCUGCAGCGUCCUCCCCGCGCUCCCGAGCCUGUCCCUCGGGCGCCGGCCUGGGCUGUCCAGCGAGAGCGGGCGGAGGGGCAGGGCCCCGGGCUAGGUCCAGGCCCGCAGCUGGCAUCAGGGGGGGCCCGGGUGGGAAGACCGGUUGGGGUGGGGGUGCACAGACCCGGGGAAUCUGAGACGCAAGGUUUCCGGCUCUUGGCCGCUAGUGAGGAAGGCUCGAGGCCGAUCCUGGCCCAAAGCAGGGCGCCGGGCCAUUGUCAGUCCUGGGAAGGGGGAUUGGGAGGAGCCCGAGAGGGGCGGCCAUUCCCUGGGGCGGCGUGGAAGGGAGGCAGCACCUCCAGGCGACGAGUAGAGCUGGGCCCUGGCGGGCUGCCACUGGGGUGUCUGGCAGUCUCUCCUGGGUCUAGGGCUGUUCCUCUGAGGUCUCGAGGUGGUCCUUCGGGUGUGUCUGGGGUAAGCCCCUCUAGAAUCUGGGGGCGGCCUCCCGGGGGCCAUACUGCAUCACGUAGUGGAGUUGGGAAGAUAAAACCAGCACGUGUAAUGUAAUACAUGACAAUGGAAGAUUCUACAUAAUUAAGGGUUAACUCAAAUCAGAAGACAAGUUUUCCAAGACUUGGGAAGGUGGAGAGAUCAGAGAUCAGUGAGAGAACAAAGAAUCGGAUGGAGUUUGGCUCUUGUCGCCCAGGCUGGAGUGCAAUGGUGCGAUCUCGGCUCACCGCAACCUCCACCUUCCGGGUUCACGUGAUUCUCCUGCUUCAGCCUCCCAAGUAGCUGGGAUUACAGGCGCCCACCAUCUCGCCCGGCUAAUUUUUUAUUUUUAGUAGAAACGGCAGUUUCACUAUGUUGGUCAGGCUGGUCUCGAACUCCCGACCUCAGGUGAUCCGCCUGCCUCGGCCUCCCAAAGUGCUGGGAUUACAGGCGUGAGCCACGGCACCCAGCCUGAUUAUGGUCGUUUAAUCAGCCCUGCAAUCCCCACUCCAUAAUGCCACCCUGCCAAGCUUCCUGAGCUGCUGUCUUUAAUGUUAGAUGCUGGGGCAGGCAGAAUAGUGCCCCCCAGAUAGCCAUGUCCAACUCCCCAAGCCCUGCCAAUAUGUUACCUUUCAUGGCAAAGGGGAAUCAGGGUUGUAGAUGGAACUGAUGUUGCUGUGGAAUAACAAGAAAGAUAUUUGGUCGUUGUCCUUAGUUUCUGGCACAAAGCUCUAAACCCUUGGAAUUUUGAGCAAUAGAGUGUUAAGAGCCUCUUUUGUUUUAGUGAGGCAACUCUUGUACUUAGCUUCAGGGUGGGAGCUGGCUGCCAGAAAGACCAAGCUUGAUUAGAAGAUCAGCAUUUCCUGCACCCCCUCCCCCAACCUCCAGGGAAGGGAGAGUGGCUGGAGAUUGAGCUGAUCACCAGUGGCCACAGUCAAACCUAUGGACUGAAGCCUCCAUAGAAGCCCCUAAAUGAUGGGGUUCAGGGAGCUUCCAAGUUGGCAAACACAUCCUCAUCCCAGAGGGUGGUGCACCCCAUCUUGACUGAGACAGUGGCUUCUGCACUCGGGACUUACUUGUCCUGGGUACUUCUUCAUCUGGUUGUUCAUUUGUACUCUUUAUAGUAAACGGUAAGAGUAAGCACAGCUUUUCCUGAGUUCUGUGAGUCAUUCUAGCAAAUUAUUUAACCUUGGGGUAAUGAGGUAGUUGAAACCUCUUUGUAGGAACUUUCCUUUGUAGGUCAAUCAGCAGAAGUUAGGCUAACCUGGGAACCCAGUCCUUUCUUUGGUGUCUAAGGACAGUCUUGUGUGACUGUCAGGUAGUGUCAGAAAGGAAUUGAAUUGUAGGACACCAAGCUGGCAUCAGAGAGUUGGAGAAGUGGUGUUGGAAAAGACACGGUUGAUGUCAAGAGGAAGAAAAAACCCUCAGUUGUUUUUUUUUUUUCUUUUUGAGAUGGAGUUUCAGUCUUGUUUCCCAGGCUGGAGUGCAAUGGCACGAUUUCAGCUCUCUGCAACCUCUGUCCCCCGAGUUCAAGCAAUUCUCCUGCCUCAGCUUCCCGAGUAGCUGGGAUUACAGGUGCCCACCACCACGCCUGGCUAAUUUUUUGUAUUUUUAGUAGAGAUGGGGUUACACCAUGUUGGCCAGGCUGGUCUCAAACUCCAGACCUCAGGUGAUCCACCCGCCUUGGCCUCCCAAAGUGCUGGGAUUACAGGCGUGAGCCACCGUGCCCAGCCAAAAAAAACCCUCAGUUGCUAAUUAGCUGAUCUUAAAAGUGGGACAUGAUCCAGAUGGACACAGUGUAAUCACAUAAAUCCUUAAACGUGGAAGAGGGAGGCAGAAGAGGAUAUCAGAGUGGCGCCAUCUGGAAAGAACUCAACCACUGUUGCUGUGUUCGAACAUGAAGGAAGGGACCAAGAACCAAGGAAUGUGGGCAGCCUCUAGAUGCUGAGAAAGGUGAGGAAAUGGAGUCUCUCCUAGGGCUUCCAGAAAGAACACGGUCCUGCCGACCUCUUUAUUUCAGUCCAGUAAGACCUGUGUUGGGCUUCCAAUCUUCAGCAUUAAUAAAUUUGUGCUUUUUCAAUAAUAAAUUGGUGCUUUUUCA